GGGUUGUGAGGUUAAGCGACUAAGCGUACACGGUGGAUGCCCUGGCAGUCAGAGGCGAUGAAGGACGUGCUAAUCUGCGAUAAGCGUCGGUAAGGUGAUAUGAACCGUUAUAACCGGCGAUUUCCGAAUGGGGAAACCCAGUGUGAUUCGUCACACUAUCAUUAACUGAAUCCAUAGGUUAAUGAGGCGAACCGGGGGAACUGAAACAUCUAAGUACCCCGAGGAAAAGAAAUCAACCGAGAUUCCCCCAGUAGCGGCGAGCGAACGGGGAGCAGCCCAGAGCCUGAAUCAGUGUGUGUGUUAGUGGAAGCGUCUGGAAAGGCGCGCGAUACAGGGUGACAGCCCCGUACACAAAAAUGCACAUACUGUGAGCUCGAUGAGUAGGGCGGGACACGUGGUAUCCUGUCUGAAUAUGGGGGGACCAUCCUCCAAGGCUAAAUACUCCUGACUGACCGAUAGUGAACCAGUACCGUGAGGGAAAGGCGAAAAGAACCCCGGCGAGGGGAGUGAAAAAGAACCUGAAACCGUGUACGUACAAGCAGUGGGAGCACAGAGCAAUCUGUGUGACUGCGUACCUUUUGUAUAAUGGGUCAGCGACUUAUAUUCUGUAGCAAGGUUAACCGAAUAGGGGAGCCGAAGGGAAACCGAGUCUUAACUGGGCGUUAAGUUGCAGGGUAUAGACCCGAAACCCGGUGAUCUAGCCAUGGGCAGGUUGAAGGUUGGGUAACACUAACUGGAGGACCGAACCGACUAAUGUUGAAAAAUUAGCGGAUGACUUGUGGCUGGGGGUGAAAGGCCAAUCAAACCGGGAGAUAGCUGGUUCUCCCCGAAAGCUAUUUAGGUAGCGCCUCGUGAAUUCAUCUCCGGGGGUAGAGCACUGUUUCGGCAAGGGGGUCAUCCCGACUUACCAACCCGAUGCAAACUGCGAAUACCGGAGAAUGUUAUCACGGGAGACACACGGCGGGUGCUAACGUCCGUCGUGAAGAGGGAAACAACCCAGACCGCCAGCUAAGGUCCCAAAGUCAUGGUUAAGUGGGAAACGAUGUGGGAAGGCCCAGACAGCCAGGAUGUUGGCUUAGAAGCAGCCAUCAUUUAAAGAAAGCGUAAUAGCUCACUGGUCGAGUCGGCCUGCGCGGAAGAUGUAACGGGGCUAAACCAUGCACCGAAGCUGCGGCAGCGACGCUUAUGCGUUGUUGGGUAGGGGAGCGUUCUGUAAGCCUGCGAAGGUGUACUGUGAGGUAUGCUGGAGGUAUCAGAAGUGCGAAUGCUGACAUAAGUAACGAUAAAGCGGGUGAAAAGCCCGCUCG
Molecule: ribosomal RNA, 1307 nt
Filed under: Escherichia coli
Lineage: Bacteria; Pseudomonadati; Pseudomonadota; Gammaproteobacteria; Enterobacterales; Enterobacteriaceae
Description: partial 23S ribosomal RNA
Rfam family: Bacterial large subunit ribosomal RNA
Source: RNAcentral